CCCUUAGAUGUUCUGGGCAGCACGCGCGCUACAAUGGUCUUCGCAAACGGAUGCAUUCUCGAAGGAGAAUGCCAAUCUUGGAAUCUAUGCCUUGGUCGGGACAGUUGCUUGCAAUUUUUCGACUCGAACCAUGAAUUCCUUGUAAUCGUGAUUCAUCACAUCACGAUGAAUACGUCCCUGCCCUUUGUACACACCGCCCGUCGCUCCUACCGAUCGAAGAGUUAGGUGAAUUGUUUUGAUCGAUAAGAUUUGACUAUGGUCAACUCUCGUUGUGAAAUUCUGUGAAUCUGACUGUUUAGAGGAAGGAAAAGUCGUAACA
This 319-nucleotide ribosomal RNA is filed under the name uncultured eukaryote. Its description in RNAcentral is "partial 18S ribosomal RNA". It matches the Rfam family "Eukaryotic small subunit ribosomal RNA", at positions 1470 to 1796 of the family's 1831-position model. The record is from RNAcentral.